This 305-nucleotide ribosomal RNA is filed under the name uncultured bacterium. RNAcentral describes it as "bacterial SSU rRNA". It matches the Rfam family "Bacterial small subunit ribosomal RNA", at positions 333 to 653 of the family's 1533-position model. The record is from RNAcentral.
UUCACCCUACGGGGCGCAGCAGUGGGGGAUAUUGCACAAUGGGGGAAACCCUGAUGCAGCGACGCCGCGUGGGCGAAGAAGUAUUUCGGUAUGUAAAGCCCUAUCAGCAGGGAAGAAGAAAUGACGGUACCUGAGUAAGAAGCACCGGCUAAAUACGUGCCAGCAGCCGCGGUAAUACAUAGGGGGCAAGCGUUAUCCGGAUUUAUUGGGUGUAAAGGGCGCGUAGACGGAGAAACAAGUUGGUUGUGAAAUCCCUCGGCUCAACUGAGGAACUGCAACCAAAACUAUUUCCCUUGAGUGUCGGA